RNAcentral lists this ribosomal RNA (1022 nucleotides) under Phaeographis intricans. RNAcentral describes it as "eukaryotic LSU rRNA". It matches the Rfam family "Eukaryotic large subunit ribosomal RNA", at positions 84 to 1125 of the family's 3401-position model. Lineage: Eukaryota; Fungi; Ascomycota; Lecanoromycetes; Ostropales; Graphidaceae. The record is from RNAcentral.
AUUUUGCGAGUGAAGGCGGCCAACAGCUCAAAUUGAAAUCUGGCCCCUUUGGGUCCGAAUUGUAAUUUGGAGAAGGUGUUUCGGGUGCGACGGCGGCUCAAGUCCCUUGGAACAGGGCGUCGUAGAGGGUGAGAAUCCCGUAUGUGGCCGACUGUCUAUCCCAUGUGAAGCCCUUUCGACGAGUCGAGUUGUUUGGGAAUGCAGCUCUAAAUGGGUGGUAAAUUUCAUCUAAAGCUAAAUAUCUGCCGGAGACCGAUAGCGCACAAGUAGAGUGAUCGAAAGAUGAAAAGCACUUUGAAAAGAGAGUCAAAAAGUACGUGAAAUUGUUGAAAGGGAAGCGCUUGCAACCAGACUCGUUUGCGGGGGCUCAAUCGUUCUUCGGGACGGUGUACUCCCCCGUAACCGGGCCAGCAUCGGUUCUGACGGCUGGACAAAGGCCUUGGGAAUGUAGCUCUCCCCGGAGAGUGUUAUAGCCCGGGGUAUAAUGCAGUCUGCUGGGACCGAGGACCGCGCUUUUGCUAGGAUGCUGGCGUAAUGGUUGCCAGCGACCCGUCUUGAAACACGGACCAAGGAGUCAACCAAUUGUGCGAGUGUUUGGGUGUAAAACCCAUGCGCGUAAUGAAAGUGAACGUGGGUGGGAGCCUUCGGGCGCACCAUCGACCGAUCUUGAUGUUUUCGGAUGGAUUUGAGUACGAGCAUUAUCGGUUGGACCCGAAAGAUGGUGAACUAUGCGUGAAUAGGGUGAAGCCAGAGGAAACUCUGGUGGAGGCUCGCAGCGGUUCUGACGUGCAAAUCGAUCGUCAAAUUUGCGCAUAGGGGCGAAAGACUAAUCGAACCAUCUAGUAGCUGGUUCCUGUCGAAGUUUCCCUCAGGAUAGCAGCAACGAAAAACAGUCUCAUGAGGUAGAGCGAACGAUUAGAGGCCUGGGGGCAGAAACUGCCUUCACCUAUUCUCGAACUUCGAAUAUGUGAGAAGUCCUUGUUACUUAAUUGAACGUGGACAUUUGGAUGGUCGUUGAGCCA